RNAcentral lists this ribosomal RNA (381 nucleotides) under uncultured eukaryote. Its description in RNAcentral is "partial 18S ribosomal RNA". It matches the Rfam family "Eukaryotic small subunit ribosomal RNA", at positions 592 to 975 of the family's 1831-position model. The record is from RNAcentral.
CAGUAGUGUAUAUCAAAGUUGUUGCGGUUAAAAAGCUCGUAGUUGGAUUUCCCGGGUGAUUUUUGAGGGACGUGCUGUGGUCAUUUGAACCGUAGGCGAACCUUUCCCGGUGGUGGCGGGUCGGACCAAAUUUUUGGCCGGUGCGGCGCAUGUACUUUGAACAAAUUAGAGUGCUCAAGACAGGCUAUUUUUAAGAUGCUGUGAAUAGAUUAGCAUGGAAUACGGGUAUAAACUCUCUUCUCGGGAUUGUUGUUUUGACGAGGAGGGGGAAUGAUGGAUAGGGACAGGUGUGGGCAUUGAGAUUGUUACGUCAGAGGUGAAAUUCUUAGAUCGUAGCAGGAUUAGCAGACGCGAAAGCAUUUGUCAAGGAUGUUUNCAUUG